CAGGCUGUAUCUGAUCCCAUAACGUGAGAAGAACUACAGGCACCAUGGAUCCAAAGCAAAUGUGGAAUCAUGUGAAAUCUCCUCCAAUAACUAGUAUAACUUGCCUUGUUAUUACAAAACUGCUAUGCCUGGCUCUUCCCAUUGCUCAGAUUGCAAUAGGUGCAGUGUAUCUGCAAGACUGUCCCCGGCA
This is a long non-coding RNA of Sinocyclocheilus grahami, 190 nucleotides long. RefSeq lists it as uncharacterized. The transcript is spliced from 4 exons. Lineage: Eukaryota; Metazoa; Chordata; Actinopteri; Cypriniformes; Cyprinidae. The record is from RefSeq and is a predicted model, not a curated record.